Non-coding RNA from Ictidomys tridecemlineatus (thirteen-lined ground squirrel), 528 nucleotides. The record is from RefSeq and is a predicted model, not a curated record. NCBI's taxonomy places the organism in Eukaryota, Metazoa, Chordata, Mammalia, Rodentia, Sciuridae.
CAACCAGCCUAAGACUUCAUCACCAUCCCCAGUGGCCAUGGUGCCUCUCAGCUCCCAGACUCCCCCAGGCCUCCAAAAAUAGAGACUGACCCUUGGAAGAGGAGGGGCAGGAAAAAGAACCUCUAAUCCAUUCUUACUGACCCUCUUCCCCAGAGAGGAGUAGCAGACUCUCACCGCCCAUAAGCAGCAGCCUUAAGGUAGGAGGCAGGGGGGAAACCUUAGAAGAAGAAGAAGAAGAAGAAGAGGAAAGCAGGAGAAGAAAUGGAAAGAAACCCUGAUGAAAGUCACUGGGGGUGACUAAAGCAAAGAAGGAAAAGCUAAGUCCUCACGCAUCCUCCUCAGGAGAUACAGGGUCCUUGGAUGGCGGGCAGAGCUUUUGUGUGAUCCUCAGGCUCAGCCCUGGUGCUUAUCAGUGGAGCCUGAUCCAGCUGGAACACCAGUGAGAGGCUGGAGGAUUAUGUAAGUGGAAGAUGGAUGUGCCCCCUGUGAGUAGUAUGGAGGUCAACAAGUCACUUUGUUCAGCUUUAA